CAAUAGCGUAUAUUUAAGUUGUUGCAGUUAAAAAGCUCGUAGUUGGAUUUCGGUUGAGAGCGGCCGGUCCGCCGUUUGGUGUGCACUGGCUGGUUUCAACUUCCUGUAGAGGACGUGCUCUGGGUUUAACGACCUGGACUCGGAGUCUACGUGGUUACUUUGAAAAAAUUAGAGUGUUCAAAGCGGGCUUACGCUUGAAUAUUUCAGCAUGGAAUAACACUAUAGGACUCCUGUCCUAUUUCGUUGGUCUCGGGACGGGAGUAAUGAUUAAGAGGAACAGUUGGGGGCAUUCGUAUUUCAUUGUCAGAGGUGAAAUUCUUGGAUUUAUGAAAGACGAACUUCUGCGAAAGCAUUUGCCAAGGAUGUUUUCAUUA
This 374-nucleotide ribosomal RNA is filed under the name uncultured eukaryote. RNAcentral's name for it is "partial 18S ribosomal RNA". It matches the Rfam family "Eukaryotic small subunit ribosomal RNA", at positions 592 to 975 of the family's 1831-position model. The record is from RNAcentral.